GACGAACGCUGGCGGCGUGCUUAACACAUGCAAGUCGAACGGAAAGGCCCUGCUUGCAGGGUACUCGAGUGGCGAACGGGUGAGUAACACGUGGGUGAUCUGCCCUGCACUUCGGGAUAAGCCUGGGAAACUGGGUCUAAUACCGGAUAGGAGCCAUUUUUAGUGUGAUGGUUGGAAAGUUUUUUCGGUGUAGGAUGAGCUCGCGGCCUAUCAGCUUGUUGGUGGGGUAAUGGCCUACCAAGGCGGCGACGGGUAGCCGGCCUGAGAGGGUGGACGGCCACAUUGGGACUGAGAUACGGCCCAGACUCCUACGGGAGGCAGCAGUGGGGAAUAUUGCACAAUGGGCGCGAGCCUGAUGCAGCGAAGCCGCGUGGGGGAUGACGGGCUUCGGGUUGUAAACUCCUUUCGCUAGGGACGAAGCUUUUUGUGACGGUACCUAGAUAAGAAGCACCGGCUAACUACGUG
This 465-nucleotide ribosomal RNA is filed under the name uncultured bacterium. RNAcentral describes it as "partial 16S ribosomal RNA". It matches the Rfam family "Bacterial small subunit ribosomal RNA", at positions 28 to 507 of the family's 1533-position model. The record is from RNAcentral.